RNAcentral lists this ribosomal RNA (468 nucleotides) under uncultured bacterium. RNAcentral's name for it is "partial 16S ribosomal RNA". It matches the Rfam family "Bacterial small subunit ribosomal RNA", at positions 28 to 507 of the family's 1533-position model. The record is from RNAcentral.
GACGAACGCUGGCGGCGUGCUUAACACAUGCAAGUCGAACGGUGAUGCUCCAGCUUGCUGGAGUGGAUCAGUGGCGAACGGGUGAGUAACACGUGAGCAACCUGCCCCAGACUCUGGAAUAAGCGCUGGAAACGGCGUCUAAUACUGGAUACGAAACUGGCCCGCAUGGGCAUGGGUUGGAAAGUUUUUCGGUUUGGGAUGGGCUCGCGGCCUAUCAGCUUGUUGGUGAGGUAAUGGCUCACCAAGGCGACGACGGGUAGCCGGCCUGAGAGGGCGACCGGCCACACUGGGACUGAGACACGGCCCAGACUCCUACGGGAGGCAGCAGUGGGGAAUAUUGCACAAUGGGCGAAAGCCUGAUGCAGCGACGCCGCGUGAGGGAUGACGGCCUUCGGGUUGUAAACCUCUUUCAGCAGGGAAGAAGCGAAAGUGACGGUACCUGCAGAAGAAGCACCGGCUAACUACGUG